UACGUAGGUGACCAGCGUUGUCCGGAUUUACUGGGCGUAAAGAGCGCGCAGGCGGUCGUUCAAGUCGAGUGUGAAAGCCCCCGGCUCAACUGGGGAGGGUCACUUGAUACUGAUCGACUCGAAGGCAGGAGAGGGAAGCGGAAUUCCCGGUGUAGCGGUGAAAUGCGUAGAUAUCUGGAGGAACACCGGUGGCGAAGGCGGCAUCCUGGACCAACACUGACACUGAGGAGCGAAAGCCAGGGGAGCAAACGGG
Molecule: ribosomal RNA, 253 nt
Filed under: uncultured bacterium
Lineage: Bacteria
Description: partial 16S ribosomal RNA
Rfam family: Bacterial small subunit ribosomal RNA
Source: RNAcentral